AUUGAACGCUGGCGGCAUGCCUUACACAUGCAAGUCGAACGGCAGCACGGGUGCUUGCACCUGGUGGCGAGUGGCGAACGGGUGAGUAAUACAUCGGAACAUGUCCUGUAGUGGGGGAUAGCCCGUCGAAAGCCGGAUUAAUACCGCAUACGAUCUACGGAUGAAAGCGGGGGACCUUCGGGCCUCGCGCUUUAGGGUUGGCCGAUGGCUGAUUAGCUAGUUGGUGGGGUAAAGGCCUACCAAGGCGACGAUCAGUAGCUGGUCUGAGAGGACGACCAGCCACACUGGAACUGAGACACGGCCCAGACUCCUACGGGAGGCAGCAGUGGGGAAUUUUGGACAAUGGGCGAAAGCCUGAUCCAGCAAUGCCGCGUGUGUGAAGAAGGCCUUCGGGUUGUAAAGCACUUUUGUCAGGAAAGAAAACCUUGGCCCUAAUACGGUCGGGGGAUGACGGUACCGGAAGAAUAAGCACCGGCUAACUACGUG
RNAcentral lists this ribosomal RNA (486 nucleotides) under uncultured bacterium. Its description in RNAcentral is "partial 16S ribosomal RNA". It matches the Rfam family "Bacterial small subunit ribosomal RNA", at positions 30 to 507 of the family's 1533-position model. The record is from RNAcentral.